UCGAGAAUUUUUCUCAAUGGGGGAAACCCUGAAGGAGCGACGCCGCGUGGAGGAUGAAGGUCUUCGGAUUGUAAACUCCUGUCAUUAGGGAACAAGUGCGUGCGAUUAACUGUCGUGCGUUUGAUAGUACCUGAAGAGGAAGAGACGGCUAACUCUGUGCCAGCAGCCGCGGUAAUACAGAGGUCUCAAGCGUUGUUCGGAUUCAUUGGGCGUAAAGGGUGCGUAGGCGGCGGGGCAAGUCAGAUGUGAAAUCUCGGGGCUCAACCCCGAAACUGCAUUUGAUACUGCCUUGCUAGAGUAUUGGAGAGGAGAUUGGAAUUUACGGUGUAGCAGUGAAAUGCGUAGAUAUCGUAAGGAAGACCAGUGGCGAAGGCGAAUCUCUGGACAAUGACUGACGCUGAGGCACGAAGGCCAGGGGAGCAAACGGGAUUAGAUACCCCGGUAGUCC
Molecule: ribosomal RNA, 448 nt
Filed under: uncultured bacterium
Lineage: Bacteria
Description: bacterial SSU rRNA
Rfam family: Bacterial small subunit ribosomal RNA
Source: RNAcentral